RNAcentral lists this long non-coding RNA (562 nucleotides) under Theobroma cacao (cacao). RNAcentral's name for it is "long non-coding RNA (TCAC_LNC006007)". Lineage: Eukaryota; Viridiplantae; Streptophyta; Magnoliopsida; Malvales; Malvaceae. The record is from RNAcentral.
UGAUUAUUGUCACCUGGUUUUAUAGAUUAUUUGCUCAUAGGAGAUAAUUACCUCAACACUACGGUGGCAUGUGGGAUGAGACUUAAACGAUCACAAGGUACCAAGCGUUUGGCGAUCUUCUUGUCACAUGAGUUGUGAGCAAGGAUCUUAGCAAUGUCACCUUGACUUAGAGUCAAGAUGAGGCUUGUAAGAGUUGAACAUUGAGAUUGUCCACAUUCCAUGGAGCUAGUGAUAUCUGGAUUUGAAUCUUAAGUGAUUCAAGUCAAUCCUUUUUGCAAGAAUUGGAUUGAGAUCCAUAUGGAGGUUUUGACGUGACAACCCUAAAUGGAAGAUCCACCAUAAUAUAUAUUUCAUACUGUAUGUGCUAUUAGUCGAUCGAUGAAAAGAAAUGAUUGAAUAAAUCUCUAUGUCAUUACUAUGUGAGCCCGAAGGACUUAUGUAGUCCAAAUAUUAUACCUUUAGGGAGUUGGAUCUAUGAUAUGAAGUUGAGAUUUGGUGUUGCUACUUUACCAUGUUUUGCAAGGGUAAAAAAUGAUAUGAUCUAGCGGACCAUGACUAGGAA